GGCUCUGUGGCUCAGUUGGUUAGAGCGCGUGCUUCACACGCACGAGGCCCCCGGUUCGAGCCCGGGCAGAGUCA
RNAcentral lists this transfer RNA (74 nucleotides) under Cronartium comandrae C4. Its description in RNAcentral is "tRNA-Val (CAC) (tRNA-Val-CAC-1-1)". It matches the Rfam family "tRNA". From Rfam's summary of the family: Transfer RNA (tRNA) molecules are approximately 80 nucleotides in length. Their secondary structure includes four short double-helical elements and three loops (D, anti-codon, and T loops). Further hydrogen bonds mediate the characteristic L-shaped molecular structure. tRNAs have two regions of fundamental functional importance: the anti-codon, which is responsible for specific mRNA codon recognition, and the 3' end, to which the tRNAs corresponding amino acid is attached (by aminoacyl-tRNA synthetases). tRNAs cope with the degeneracy of the genetic code in two manners: having more than one tRNA (with a specific anti-codon) for a particular amino acid; and 'wobble' base-pairing, i.e. permitting non-standard base-pairing at the 3rd anti-codon position. Lineage: Eukaryota; Fungi; Basidiomycota; Pucciniomycetes; Pucciniales; Coleosporiaceae. The record is from RNAcentral.